Molecule: long non-coding RNA, 1707 nt
Filed under: Homo sapiens (human)
Lineage: Eukaryota; Metazoa; Chordata; Mammalia; Primates; Hominidae
Description: HSALNT0171137
Source: RNAcentral
GUGGUACAUAUACACCAUGGAAUACUAUGCAGCCAUUAAAAAUGAGAUCACAUCCUUUGCAGGGACAUGAAUGGAGUUGAAAGUUGUUAUCCUCAGCAAACUCAUGUAGGAACAGAAAACUGAACACCACAUAUUCUCACUUAUAAGUGGGAGCUAAAUGAUGAGAACACAUGGACACAUGGAAUUGGGGGAACAACACACACUGAGGCCUGUCAGUCACGGGGCAGGAGGAGGGAGAGCAUAAGGAAGAAUAGAUAAUGGAUGCUGGGCUUAAUGCUUAGGUGAUGGGUUGAUCUGUGCAUCCAACCACCAUGGCACAUGUUUACCUAUAUAAAAAACCUGCACAUCCUCCACAUAUACCCCAGAACUUAAAAUAAAAGUUGAAGAAAAAAAUGGAGUAUGGAGAAAAAUGGAAAAUGGACUAUGGAAUAUGAGUAUAAAGAAUGUAGUAUGGAAAAGGGAGAAUGAAGAAUGCAGAAUGCCAUAUGUAAAAUGGACUAUGAAGAAAGGAGAAUAGAGCAUAGAGUAUGGAGAAUAAAAAACUGUAAUGGAAAGGUGUAUGAAGAACAGAAUAUGGCAAAUAGAAAAUGGAGAAUGGUGUUUGAAGAAAGGUGAAUAGGGAAUGGAACAUCGAGAAUGAACUAUGAACAAAAGAGUAUGAAAAAGGGAGUGUGCAGAAUAGAAAGUGGAGAAUGAAGAAUGGUGUGUGUAAAGUGGGGUAUGAAGAAAGCAGGAUGGAGUAUAGAGUAUAGAGUAUGGAGGAUUAAAAAUGGAGAAUGAACCAUGGUGUACGAAGAAUGAAGAAAGGAGAUUAGAAAAUAAAGAAUGAAGAACAGCAUAUGAGGAAGGAGUAUAAAGUAUAUAGUAUGGAAAAUGGAGGAUGGGGAAUGGUGCAUGGAGAAUGAAGUAUAGAGAAAGGAGUAAGGAGAAUGAAGUAUGAAGAACGGAGUGUGUUGAAAAGAGAACGAAUGAACAAUGAGUAUAGAGAAUGAGGUAUAGAGAAAGGAGAAUGAUGAACAGAAAAUGGAGAAUGAAGAAUGGUGUAUGAAAAAUGAAGUAUGAAGAAAGAAUUGAGUACAGAGUACAGAAUGUGGAGAAUAAAAAAUGGAGAAUGGAAUAUGGAGAAUAAGGUAUGAGGAGGAGAAUGAAGAAAUGAUAAUAGAGAAAGGAGUAUAGAGAAUGGGGAGUGGAGAAUGGUAUGUGGAAAAUGAAGUAUGGAGAAAAAGAAUGAAGAACGGAUUAUAGAAAAUCAAAAGUGAAGAAUGGAGAGUAAUGUACAGAGAAGUGAAUAUGAAGUAUACCAUAUGGAAAAUGGAGAAUGCUAUACAUAGAAAGGAGUAAGGAGUAUGGAACAAGAAGAAUGGAUUAUGAUGAAAAAAGAAAAGAAUGGAGUAUGGAGAAUGAGUAUGGAGAAAGGAGAAUAGAGUAUGCAGAAUGGAGUACGGAGAAAGGAUCAUGAAGAAUAGAAAAUGGAGAAUAAAGAAUGGUGUAUGUAAAAUGGCAUAUGAAGAAAGAAGAAUGGAUUAUAGAGUAUGGAGAAUAAAAAAUGAAGAAUGGACAACAGUGUAUGAAGAAUGGAGGAUGAAGAAUAGAAAAUGAGGAAUGAAGAAUGGCAUACGAAGAGGGAUAUGAAGAAAGGAGAAUGGAGAAAGGAGCACGGUGAGAGUAAAGAGUAAUGUGUGGAGAAUGGAGUAUGAAAUAUGGUUU